AGUGAACGCUGGCGGUAGGCCUAACACAUGCAAGUCGAACGGCAGCACAGUAAGAGCUUGCUCUUACGGGUGGCGAGUGGCGGACGGGUGAGGAAUACAUCGGAAUCUACUUUUUCGUGGGUGAUAACGUAGGGAAACUUACGCUAAUACCGCAUACAACCUACGGGUGAAAUCAGGGGAUCUUCGGACCUUGCGCGAUUGAAUUAGCCGAUGUCGGAUUAGCUAGUUGGCUGGGUAAAGUCCCACCUAGGCGACGAUCCGUAGCUGGUCUGAGAGGAUGAUCAGCCACACUGGAACUGAGACACGGUCCAGACUCCUACGGGAGGCAGCAGUGGGGAAUAUUGGACAAAGGGCGCAAGCCUGAUCCAGCAAUACCGCGUGGGUGAAGAAGGCCUUCGGGUUGUAAAGCCCUUUUGUUGGGAAAGAAAAGAAGCAGGUUAAUACCCCGCUGUUCUGACGGUACCCAAAGAAUAAGCACCGGCUAACUUCGUG
This 492-nucleotide ribosomal RNA is filed under the name uncultured bacterium. Its description in RNAcentral is "partial 16S ribosomal RNA". It matches the Rfam family "Bacterial small subunit ribosomal RNA", at positions 29 to 507 of the family's 1533-position model. The record is from RNAcentral.